This 1868-nucleotide long non-coding RNA is filed under the name Mytilus galloprovincialis (Mediterranean mussel). Lineage: Eukaryota; Metazoa; Mollusca; Bivalvia; Mytilida; Mytilidae. The record is from RNAcentral.
GAAAUAUGUUGUAGGCCUUGGCGAGUUAUAAAAUAAAACACAAAAUAAAACAUAGGUCACCGUGCUUGUUUUCGAGAAAAUUGAGGCUGAAAAUUGGGGAUUUGUGCAAUUUUGUAAAAAAAUUAGGCAAUGUUAUAAAAUUUUUGGAGCAGAUAUUCUUCGUCGUAAAUUAUUAAGAUCGGGUUCAAUCUGAAGCUGUGAUAAGUGGCAAUAAGGAAAAAAAUAAAUCACUAUACGAAUAACUAUAAAAUUAUUCAAGUCUUGCUUGACAUUGCGGACCAGAUGCUCAAAGUGGUAUUUUUCUAAACCUAAAAAAAUGGAAAAAAACUGUUUCUGAAAAUGUCAUUUUUAUCAUUUUUCUGCAUAAACUGCAUUUUGUCAUGCUUUCUCCAAAUCUCAAAUAAAAAAUAUAGGUCACCGUGCUGGAUUCCAUGAUAAUCACGAUUUAUCCUAAAAAAUUGCGUCACCCCUUUGUAACCUCAACGUUAGCGCUAAAGUGCACGACGUCGCUGGCAGACAAUUUCGACGUUAUCGCUUCAAAUUACCGGCGACAUUUUUCAGAUGUAUAAAUAUUACUUGUAAAGUACUAUCUAUAAAUUGGUAACAUUGUUUUCGGAAGUAAAAUCAUGUGAAUAACAAAUACCUCUCUGUGUUUGUGGUCUAAGUGAGAAACUUCUCAAGAAAAGUUAUUACGGACUGUUGAUAAUUUUUACGGCUUUCAAAAAUUUAAGACUCGGCAAUUUAGAACAUGACAUACAGGUACAUUUACUGUACACACUCGUAUAUUAUUUCAUACUGUAUGAUGACCUCUAGAUGUUGUUCUUUGUUUUGUUUUGUUUGGUUGGCUGCUGUUUCAUUACACAUACUCCUUAAUAUCCUUUAAUUCACGUUUUUAUCACUGAGAAAAUCCGUUUUUGUUGAUACGAAUUUUAAAAAAGUUAGCGUCGUUUGGACAGUAAUCAAAUUUGCCGUUACUUUUCUCGUUUGAGUUGUUUUACCUUGUCAUUUCGGGACCUUUUAUAGCUGACUAUGCGGUAUGGGCUUUGCUCAUUGUUGAAGACCUAUAUAGUUGUUAAUUUCUGUGUCAUGUUUGUGUCUCUUGAUGAGAGUUGUCUAAUUGGCAAUUAUACCACAUCUUCUGUUUUAUGUGGUCAGAAAACAGAAGCAAAAUCUUACAAAGGAGAAUCUUCAAUUUGCUAAUGGAUGCUUUUGUCCAGACAGAGAAACUAUAAUUUUGAAAUUUUUGAUUUGGCAAAAAAAAUGAUUAAAUUAAUAGCGAGAGGACUGGAUAUAUUACGAUUAGUUGCAAUUAAAAUCAUUCUCUCAUAGCGUAAUUUUAUUGGUAAAUAACUAUAUAUUUUUUUCACCACAGCGCGUACAUAAAAUACCGCAUGUCCAUUCCCCUGUCUGUCCUUCCGGACUUCUGGUUAAUUAGAUUUUUCAAGUGUACAAUUCUUGCCAACUUUCUAUAAAAACUGAUAUCGUAUGGACACGUUCGAAAAUCAGUGCAUAUCAACUAUUCUUUAAAAGAGUUAUGCCAUUUGGAAAUAUUAAUUAUAUUGAAAAUUGCAUUGUAUUUUCUGUCAUUCCGUCAUUUCUCUAAUAUAUCUAUAAAAAAAAUAAAGAAAAAAAUAAACAGCUGCGCUUCGAGCGCAUGAUACGCCCUUCGUCUCAUGAAAAAAAAAACAACAUAAUAUAUGUUUUUAAAAUAACACGGGGGUUGUACGGAAGUCAUGCUAGGUAUAUCCUGACUCAUUCAUUAUUCUUGCUCAAUAAUAAGUUUAUAUAUCACAACAUGUUUUAUAUGAUCCCCAAAUUGAAGCUCAAUAAAAAUUCAAGAACUCAAAAAUGAAUUAAAGAAUCAUCAC